This 824-nucleotide ribosomal RNA is filed under the name uncultured bacterium. RNAcentral's name for it is "bacterial SSU rRNA". It matches the Rfam family "Bacterial small subunit ribosomal RNA", at positions 27 to 896 of the family's 1533-position model. The record is from RNAcentral.
GAACGAACGCUGGCGGCAGGCUUAACACAUGCAAGUCGAACGGCUGUAGCAAUACAGCAGUGGCAGACGGGUGAGUAACACGUGGGAACCUACCUAGGGGUACGGAAUAACUCGGGGAAACUCGUGCUAAUACCGUAUACGUCCUUUGGGAGAAAGAUUCAUCGCCCCUAGAUGGGCCCGCGUUGGAUUAGCUAGUUGGUGAGGUAAAAGCUCACCAAGGCUACGAUCCAUAGCUGGUCUGAGAGGAUGAUCAGCCACACUGGGACUGAGACACGGCCCAGACUCCUACGGGAGGCAGCAGUGGGGAAUCUUGGACAAUGGGGGAAACCCUGAUCCAGCCAUGCCGCGUGAGUGAUGAAGGCCUUAGGGUUGUAAAGCUCUUUCGCCAGGGAAGAUAAUGACGGUACCUGGAUAAGAAGCCCCGGCUAACUCCGUGCCAGCAGCCGCGGUAAUACGGAGGGGGCUAGCGUUGUUCGGAAUUACUGGGCGUAAAGCGCACGUAGGCGGCUUUCCAAGUUGGAGGUGAAAUCCCUGGGCUUAACCCAGGAACUGCCUUCAAAACUGGGGAGCUCGAGUCCGAGAGAGGUGAGUGGAAUUUCCAGUGUAGAGGUGAAAUUCGUAGAUAUUGGAAAGAACACCAGUGGCGAAGGCGGCUCACUGGCUCGGUACUGACGCUGAGGUGCGACAGCGUGGGGAGCAAACAGGAUUCGAUACCCUGGUAGUCCACGCCGUAAACGAUGGGUGCUAGUUGUCGGGCAGCUUGCUGUUCGGUGACGCAGCUAACGCAUUAAGCACCCCGCCUGGGGAGUACGGUCGCAAGAUUA